UACGUAGGGUGCGAGCGUUUGUCCGGAAUUAUUGGGCGUAAAGAGCUUGUAGGCGGUUUGUCGCGUCUGCUGUGAAAACCCGGGGCUCAACCCCCGGGCCUGCAUUCGAUACGGGCAGACUAGAGUUCGGUAGGGGAGUCUGGAAUUCUUGGUGUAGCGGUGAAAUGCGCAGAUAUCAGGAGGAACACCAGUGGCGAAGGCAGGCUACUGGACAGAAGGUGACGCUGAGGCGCGAAAGUGUGGGGAGCGAACCGG
This 255-nucleotide ribosomal RNA is filed under the name uncultured bacterium. RNAcentral describes it as "partial 16S ribosomal RNA". It matches the Rfam family "Bacterial small subunit ribosomal RNA", at positions 524 to 776 of the family's 1533-position model. The record is from RNAcentral.